GAUGAACGCUGGCGGCGUGCCUAAUACAUGCAAGUCGAGCGAACAGACGAGGAGCUUGCGCCUUUGACGUUAGCGGCGGACGGGUGAGUAACACGUAGGUAACCUACCUAUAAGACUGGGAUAACUUCGGGAAACCGGAGCUAAUACCGGAUAAUAUUUCGAACCGCAUGGUUCGAUAGUGAAAGAUGGCGUUGCUAACACUUAUAGAUGGACCUGCGCCGUAUUAGCUAGUUGGUAAGGUAACGGCUUACCAAGGCAACGAUACGUAGCCGACCUGAGAGGGUGAUCGGCCACACUGGAACUGAGACACGGUCCAGACUCCUACGGGAGGCAGCAGUAGGGAAUCUUCCGCAAUGGGCGAAAGCCUGACGGAGCAACGCCGCGUGAGUGAUGAAGGUCUUCGGAUCGUAAAGCUCUGUUAUUAGGGGAGAACAAACGUGUAAGUAACUGUGCACGUCUUGACGGUACCUAAUCAGAAAGCCACGGCUAACUCCGUG
Molecule: ribosomal RNA, 497 nt
Filed under: uncultured bacterium
Lineage: Bacteria
Description: partial 16S ribosomal RNA
Rfam family: Bacterial small subunit ribosomal RNA
Source: RNAcentral